Molecule: long non-coding RNA, 6275 nt
Filed under: Amphibalanus amphitrite
Lineage: Eukaryota; Metazoa; Arthropoda; Thecostraca; Balanomorpha; Balanidae
Description: uncharacterized LOC122375613, transcript variant X1
Source: RNAcentral
GCGCGUAUGGCUCGUAUCAUUUACGAGGCACGCGACGGGAGCCCUGAGUGGCUCUCUAUCGAAAGCUGCUCUAAACCCAGGUCUCACUUGGAGAUCGAUCUCACUCGGAGAUCACGAGUCUGUUGUAGAGUGGCGUCAUCUUACGUCCAGUCCACCGAACCGGUGUGCACAAUUGCUGGCGGUGGAUACCAGACUCCCCCCACGGGUCGUCAUGUGCGAGGCAAGGUCGGGGAUAAGAUGUCACGGCAGCAAUUGAAGAUAAAAUUGAGUUUCUUCAUGUAAAUGCUAGCAGGCUGCUACAUUUGCACAAUGAGUGAGUGCAAAGCUUCUCUUUAAUUUAUACUUAUCCUUAUCCAAGCAGACUGUUACCUAAUACGUCUGAGUCUAUAUUCACUUCAUCCAGGAAAAUGCUUCAAAAUCGCGUUUUUCGUCGGUAAAUAGCAUUGUAACCUUGCGUCAGUUGACACAAGAUUUCACUGCCGCAUCCGGAAUCUCAGUGCAUAGCUGUCUAUGCAUCAUGAGCUUAGGUAUUGUUUCCUUUUUCGUUAGGUCAUGCCUCAACUUGUAGCGCUUAAUCGCUCAUGCCACAACAAAGUUUGCGGACUUGUUAAAGGUUAAAAGAAAAUAUAUUUCCUUCAACAGAUGUCCGUCAAAUGAGGCUACAAAUGAGCUGUUUUCUUCUGCCAAUUAUGUUACUAUAGCACGUUGCUAAUGGAAGGCGGUCAUGAAUAAGACUAUUUGCAGUUGUGCCUCAUCAUCAUUUAUUUGCCAAAUACAAUUUCAAUUGCUACUGUUAUCCCCGGCUAUAGUGUCUACGGUGGCGAGCUUUCUCCGCGGACCUUCAACUUCAAGACCUUCUACUUCAAGACCUUCUACUUCAAGACCUUCUACUUCUAGACAACUAAAGGGAUAUUCGCGUCAUACUGUACUCUCGAUGACCUGCAUGUCGGGCGUGCCAUGUCCUGAGGAGCGUUGUUUUCAAUACCCUCAGUGCACAUACUGCACCAGACUAUAUUUACGGACGUUGACUGUUUGUUUUAGGCACUGUUUCAAGCAUUGUACGAUGGCCGAAAACAAUAGUAUUUGUUAACGUUUUCAAGUGCCAUUCGGAAUAUCCGAAACUACGACGCAAUGUUAGUUGGAAAUAACGUAUCUAGUUAAUCAUGUUAUCGCAUGAUGUUCUUGUUCAUUGGCAAACAUUAUUUCAGCAGUCGAUACGUCCUCCAAACUUCAGUAACUGUUACUAUAUAGUCCCCGUUCGUCACAAACAACCGUUGACAUUUUGUCAACCUCAAAUUCGAAUAUAUUAACCGUUUACACGCACGAGAAUAUCCCUUUAUCCAAACUAGCAAGUGUGUCUACUGUUUUCUUACUAGGCAAACAAAAGUUUGUCACAGCAUGUGCGCAGUUCACUUUACCUAUGUGCAUUCAUACUAAAAGCCAUUCGUCCACAUGCAAGUUAUUUAUUUGCGCUAUUGACGUAAGCUUUCAUGAAGGCCAAACCAAUGCUGAUUCGUCAAUGCUGAUUGUCAGCUUGAAAGUAAAGAUGAGCAAAGUGGUUCAACUGAAUCUUAUGGUUGCAGUAGGGCAUAUUAGAAGUAAGUGACAAGUAUAUGUCAGCAAUUGUUUAUGCUUCUUAACCCUAGAUACUUUUGAUUCGAUCCUUUGGGUGAUGACGUAAUGUGGCAGAAAACAGUAGACACACUUCAUCUCAUCGGAAACCCUGAAUGAUUGGUAUUUGUGAGCAUGUGUGCCUGUGAGUGUGUAAGGGUGGAUGUGGGUGUGUGGGUAUGUAUGUGCGUAUGUGAGCGUGUGCGUGUCAUCUUACACGUAAUUUAGUGAAUGAGUGAAUAGGUACUAGUUUUCAAGUAAAUACGUGCAUGAGUGCGUGUAGUCAGUGGUGUAUGGAACUAGCAUUGUGCCUGCCUGCUGCCAACGAAAUAUGCAAGCCCACACAGAGAAAACAGUUUUAUUGUGCAAAACUUCAUGCUGCUGGCAGGGUUUACAUGCAAGUCACAUAUUGCAGGUCUACCAUAAGCAGAGCGAUGUGACAUCUGAUAAGUACCUAACUCACAGCAACACAUACUCUGCAUGUCCAGGGAAAGUGAGUUGUGCUCGGAACAGAUUGGCCAGACAGUUUUGUCCUAUCAAAUUCAGAAUUGUUUCAUCCUCCUCACAGUUGCCAUUAACAUCAUGAGCACACAUUAUUGCUAGAUCUGAAUGCCAGCUGCCUAUUGCACCGCUGGCACGUAUGUUUGAGACAAAGGUGCCGCCAGUUUUCCACCUCGCUGCUGAUACAAUGCAAUACUGCUACAAAAUGUCCGUGUUCAGUGUUUUUAGUGUUGUAUGUUUGUAUAUGAGUCUUGCGUCGUGUGAACAUUACCUACAUGAGUUUAAAGUGUUCCCGCGAAAGUAGGUACUGAAUUAGCUCAAGCCAGGAUUGCGUUGCGGAUAUAUUUGUAGGCCAUACAAUGUUUUAUGGCGUCAUUUACGACAUUUCCUGUUUUUCUUGUCGUUGUAUGCACGUGAGUUGUGCCGCAUGUUGCGCUUGCAAAUCAUGUUCUCAAUGUCAUUUUCUUUUGGUACAAUUGGUCACCACUACACAUCACUCGCAUACACUCGCCCAAGCAAGUCGGAUAUCAAUCACUGUCCAGAAGUGCAUGAUGCAUUCAACCACGCAUAGAACACUGGCACACCAAGAACAUGAACUCACGCAAAAACGAGAGGGCUAUCACACGACUUCGCAUUGGACACACCGCUAUCACACACAACUACAUCAUCACAAGAAGCCCGAGACCGAAAUGCAACACCUGCAACACUUUCAUCACUGUCAAACAUCUGCUACUCACAUGCCCACAAUACCGACACCACAGGACACACAUACAAACAUACUGCAGAGACGCCAACAUCCCACUAACACUCACAACACUGCUCGAGGACUUACACCCCGAGCUAACAACACUACUCAUCCACUAAAGACACAACACUGGGCUGAUCAAUGACCUGUAAAUCUCCUCCCCUAGAGCCAAGGACAAAAAAGCCAAAAAAGCCAAAAAAAGAAGCCAAAAAGAAAAAACAAUAUUCAAAACAAUGAGAAUCAAAAUAAAAGACCCCAGAAUGGCAAAAUGGCAAAAAAAAAAACAAAAACAAAAAAACAUAAUAGAAGGGGCAAUUCGGCUACCCGGGAGGAGAUAGCUAGGAACCCUGUCCCACCCCUCAGCCCACCCUUACGAGCCAAGAAGACGACGGACACUUCAAGACAACGGACGGACCAACAACGAAGACGGACGACAGAACCGGGCCCAAAUACAGGACGCUGUGGUGGCCCGUAAGCCACAAAUACCAUACCAUACCAUACCAGUGCAUCAUGCAGCAGAAGAAGCUUCAUUGAACACACUCGUCAUCAUGAACGGCAUCUAGGAGUUUCAUGAGUUUGGAUCUGUGACCAGUUGUUUUCGCAGUAUCCAAUAGCAACCGUGUAUGACCAGGUGCCGCUUGGACGCCUUGUCCAGCCACGUCUUCCGGGACUGUGUGAUGACUGCCUCUGCAAUCUCAAGUGCCAGUUUCUGCCUCCGGCCUAUUUCUUUAUCAAAGGAUGUUGGUAACUGAACGACCAGCUCUGCUCCAAGAUUCCAAAUCGUUUUACGGUAUUGUAUGCCUACAAAACGUUAGUAUUUGUUUUGGAGGCGGUAAUACUCGGAUGAACUGACCUUUAUGGGUGGGUAUUCAACGUUGAAUCAAGUAGGCUUGUAGCCAUCUGCCUAUUGACUUCUAAGGGUUUUAGUAAAAUUUAUAUAAUAUCUCAUCUGAAAUGCAUUUUCACUCUCAGUCGUCGAAAUUGAAAAAUCAUAAGCUUAGAAAUCCGCGGGCUUGACAUAUUAUAUUUUCUCGACGAUUCGUUUCGACUUGCCGACAUGUCAGCUAAUCAUCCGCUGCUUCUCCUAUUUUCACAGGUGCAUUACUCUCAAGUGCCAGUUUCUGCCUCCGGCCUAUUUCAUUAUCAAAGGAUGCUGUUAGCUGAACGAACAGCUCUGCUCCAAGAUUCCAAACGUUUUUACGGUAUUGUAUGCCUACAAAACGUUAGUAUUUGUUUUGGAGGCGGUAAUGCUCGGAUGAACUGACCUUUAUGGGUGGGUAUUCAACGUUGAAUCAAGUAGGCUUGUAGCCCUCUGCCUAUUGACUUCUAAGGGUUUUAGUAAAAUUUAUAUAAUAUCUCAUCUGAAAUGCAUUUUCACUCUCAGUCGUCGAAAUUGAAAAAUCAUAAGCUUAGAAAUCCGCGGGCUUGACAUAUUAUAUUUUCUGGACGAUUCGUUUCGACUUGCCGACAUGUCAGCUAAUCAUCCGCUGCUUCUCCUAUUUUCACAGGUGCAUUACCAGUCGUCUUUACCGUCGAUACCGUUGAAGAUUUUACCGUCGAUCAGGGAGCACCCAUUGCGCUGGCCGUUGCUGGCACUUUUUUAUUUGUCACUAGCUAUUAGUUAUCUGCACAUAUACAUUAGCCACCUGUGCACCCGGUUACACUAGCUCUCAUCAUCUAGUUCUACGUAUGUGUGUGUUUGUUUUAAUUGAAUUGCCAAUGAAUUCGGUAGACAUGCUCCGCCCGCAAACAUGUACCACAUGAUGCAGUCCACUGAAUGUAGCAGUUAAUCACUCGUAAAAAGCAGUCAGGUUUUCGUAUAGUGUAGGUUUGCAUCUAUGUAAGCAUGUGUUCACACUCAUGAGCGAUCGACACAUGAUAUUGCAUUUCCUGUUCAGUUACAUUUUUAGCACUGGAACACGAUGCUCAUACACUGUGUUGUUAUCUUUCUUUUUUCGCCUGCUCCUUCCUCCAACUUGUGUCUUUGAGUAUUUCAGUCACAUGCUCAAACGUUCUUAAAUGCUCUCGCCAUCGGUUUACGGAUGCGUUGAAAACGGACAUGUGUUGACCAAAUUUAACAAUAUGCGGACAAUGGAUCGACUUCUUGAAGCCUCUGGGCGUGAUACACCUUCUCCAUCACCAUCAAGAGAUCAACAUUUUCGAAGACACUUGCGUACGGCCGUAGUGUCCGGCGCAAUGCUGAAUGCGACCUGUUAUCUGUUGGAUCUACUCUGUGAGCCCGAACCCCAGUGCAAUGGCACUGUUCGACUACAGCGCUGGACGUCGUCUACUUUUUGCUAGAAGCAAAUGUCACCAUCCGUCCAUGAACUUCGGGCUGCUCACAGCUAUAUUGCCUUGGCAAGUUCUUUGAGCACUUAAUACUGGACUUGGGCUGCGAAAGCUAAUGACAAUUUGGGGAGCUUGAUAUUGCAAUGGCUAUGACGUGAAGGUCCAAUAUGGCGAACAGCUCGACUAUUCACCAUUGUCAACGCUUAUGAUAGCUAAAUAUCAUUGUGCUUGGUGUACAUUCACGUCUCGUUUCCUUGCUCCAUUUGUACCUCACCGGUCGUCCGUCCCCACAGGCCUCGGCUGCAGCACAAGCUACAUUCAUCGGCCCAAUCAUCAGUUAUUCGUCCUGCAAGUUUUAAGUCACUUCGUUGUGACCCGGACAUCGUCAUCUUUCAACGAGUUCAAAUGAUUAUUUCAUUCAUCAUCGUCGAUCAGACUCAUCAUGUAAAGACACUUCCAUAAUGCUAGCCGCCAUCUACGUUUGUGCAGGAAGCAAAUAUCAGGUUGUUAUUAGCUGCGGGCUACUCAGUACCGACUGAAGUACUGGCAGUAGUGUGCGAGCACCUAAUACGUGUAUUGUGAUACCAAAGCUAAAACGGAUGAUAGCUUAGCGCAUAGCGCCCUACCGCUUUCCACACACACACACAAACAAAACUUGACUUUGGGCAUUAGCACCAUGGCAGGAUAAACAGGCAGUUUCGCUGUUUUUCACUGCUUUCAUUGGCAGGUGUUACUGCUCAUUCCCGUUUUAUGUGAUGUUAGAACAGCCCUUCACCAUAGUCCUGUUUUCUCCUUUGCCGUUUUCCAUAGACAUCAGAUGCGACAUGCACUCCAACGAUCGGUCAGGCGCAUCACCGUCAAUCCGGUCGCCUGUUAAGCAGUUCGUAAUCACCGUCAGUCUUCGACAUCUGUCAACACACUUAUCCACAUUAUCGCCUUACUUUUGAUCUUAUCAAUAUGCAAGAAUGAGUGCAAAAUGCAUUCCAAUAUUGCAUCAGUUGAUGUUGUAUCGCAAUGACACCGCGUCCUCACCUCACAUCUGUUGUGCAUACUUGAUCACGAAUGCCAGUUAUACGCAGAUUCACAUGGUGAAGUUUUACUCCGUUGACGUUUUCUUUCAAUACUUGUA